Molecule: long non-coding RNA, 446 nt
Filed under: Cricetulus griseus (Chinese hamster)
Lineage: Eukaryota; Metazoa; Chordata; Mammalia; Rodentia; Cricetidae
Description: lncRNA (ENSCGRG00015033776.1)
Source: RNAcentral
GUCAUGUAUCAAGCUCAUUUUGUUGUUUACAUUUUUCUGUUUUUCCACUCACUGACAAGGGUUUCCAUAUGCAUCUUGUUUGCUGUUUCUACUAGUUGCAGGCACGGAAACGUUGGGCUUCCAGCACUCAGCCCCAUAGGGAUCCUACUCAGGCUGGCCUCGUGAACAAAUCACUGCUGUCUCCUAUGACAGAAGCCCUGCCCUCUCUGAGGACUUCCUAUUGGAAAGUGAACCAGUCUGAAUAUGUGAAGCACUUAGCACCUGGGACUCAUGGGGAAGAAGAUAAUCCUCUGGGUUGUGAUGACAGGAUGAAGACACCGCAGAGGCCCAGAGACUCUGUUAGCUUACAGGGUUUUACGUACUCCAUGUUUGGCUAUGUAUAACCAAGAAUGAUCCUGAACUCCUGAUUCUCCUGCUUGAUACCUUCGGAGCGCUAUUGUUUUAAC